AACGAACGCUGGCGGCGCGCCUAAUACAUGCAAGUCGAACGGGGAGUCGACACGUGAGCAAUCACGUGGCGGUCUUAGUGGCGUACGGGUGAGUAACACGUGGGCGAACCUGCCCUUCGAGUCUGGGAUAACCUCCCGAAGGGAGGCUAAUACCGGAUACGGUCCUCGGUCGCGAGAUCUGAGGAAGAAAGGUAGGCGCAAGCUACCGCUCUUGGAGGGACUCGCGGCCUAUCAGCAGUUGGUGAGGUAACGGCUCACCAAGGCUAUGACGGGUAGCUGGUCUGAGAGGACGACCAGCCACACGGGGACUGAGAC
This 315-nucleotide ribosomal RNA is filed under the name uncultured bacterium. Its description in RNAcentral is "bacterial SSU rRNA". It matches the Rfam family "Bacterial small subunit ribosomal RNA", at positions 29 to 325 of the family's 1533-position model. The record is from RNAcentral.